GGAGUCUAGCAUGUACGCAAGUCAUUGGGAUAUGACUAAACCUAAAGGCAUAAUGAAAGUAAAAGUUCAUCUUGCAUGAACUAAGGGAAGAUGAGUUUAAAUUACGAUUUUUAUUCCGCACUCCCGGGGCGUCUCAUUCUCAUUGCGAGAAGAGGCGCACCAAGAGCGUACACGCUGGGACCCGAAAGAUGGUGAACUAUGCCUGGUCAGGACGAAGUCAGGGGAAACCCUGAUGGAGGUCCGUAGCGAUUCUGACGUGCAAAUCGAUCGUCGGAACUGGGUAUAGGGGCGAAAGACUAAUCGAACCAUCUAGUAGCUGGUUCCCUCCGAAGUUUCCCUCAGGAUAGCUGGCGCUCAUUGCGUACGAGUUUCAUCCGGUAAAGCGAAUGAUUAGAGGCAUUGGGGUCGAAACGGCCUCAACCUAUUCUCAAACUUUAAAUGGGUGAGAUCUCCGGCUUGCUCGAACUUAUGAAGCCGCGAGACUCGAAUCAGAGUGCCAAGUGGGCCAUUUUUGGUAAGCAGAACUGGCGCUGUGGGAUGAACCAAACGCUGAGUUAAAGCGCCUAAAUCGACGCUUAUGGGAUACCAUGAAAGGCGUUGGUAACUUAAGACAUCAGGACGGUGGCCAUGGAAGUC
RNAcentral lists this ribosomal RNA (636 nucleotides) under Pelecotoma fennica. Its description in RNAcentral is "eukaryotic LSU rRNA". It matches the Rfam family "Eukaryotic large subunit ribosomal RNA", at positions 670 to 1262 of the family's 3401-position model. Lineage: Eukaryota; Metazoa; Arthropoda; Insecta; Coleoptera; Ripiphoridae. The record is from RNAcentral.